This 505-nucleotide ribosomal RNA is filed under the name uncultured bacterium. Its description in RNAcentral is "partial 16S ribosomal RNA". It matches the Rfam family "Bacterial small subunit ribosomal RNA", at positions 28 to 507 of the family's 1533-position model. The record is from RNAcentral.
GACGAACGCUGGCGGCGUGCCUAAUACAUGCAAGUAGAACGCACAGUUUACACCGUAGCUUGCUACACCAUAGACUGUGAGUUGCGAACGGGUGAGUAACGCGUAGGUAACCUGCCUGGUAGCGGGGGAUAACUAUUGGAAACGAUAGCUAAUACCGCAUAAUAUUAAUUAUUGCAUGAUAAUUAAUUGAAAGGUGCAAUUGCACCACUACCAGAUGGACCUGCGUUGUAUUAGCUAGUAGGUGAGGUAACGGCUCACCUAGGCGACGAUACAUAGCCGACCUGAGAGGGUGAUCGGCCACACUGGGACUGAGACACGGCCCAGACUCCUACGGGAGGCAGCAGUAGGGAAUCUUCGGCAAUGGACGAAAGUCUGACCGAGCAACGCCGCGUGAGUGAAGAAGGUUUUCGGAUCGUAAAGCUCUGUUGUAAGAGAAGAACGGGUGUGAGAGUGGAAAGUUCACACUGUGACGGUAUCUUACCAGAAAGGGACGGCUAACUACGUG